GGUUCUGGCUCAGUGGUAGAGCGCUUGCCUCGCAUGCAUGAGGUCCUGGGUUUGAUCCUCAGCACCA
RNAcentral lists this transfer RNA (67 nucleotides) under Marmota monax (woodchuck). RNAcentral describes it as "tRNA.Ala". It matches the Rfam family "tRNA". From Rfam's summary of the family: Transfer RNA (tRNA) molecules are approximately 80 nucleotides in length. Their secondary structure includes four short double-helical elements and three loops (D, anti-codon, and T loops). Further hydrogen bonds mediate the characteristic L-shaped molecular structure. tRNAs have two regions of fundamental functional importance: the anti-codon, which is responsible for specific mRNA codon recognition, and the 3' end, to which the tRNAs corresponding amino acid is attached (by aminoacyl-tRNA synthetases). tRNAs cope with the degeneracy of the genetic code in two manners: having more than one tRNA (with a specific anti-codon) for a particular amino acid; and 'wobble' base-pairing, i.e. permitting non-standard base-pairing at the 3rd anti-codon position. The record is from RNAcentral. Lineage: Eukaryota; Metazoa; Chordata; Mammalia; Rodentia; Sciuridae.